Molecule: microRNA precursor, 100 nt
Organism: Gallus gallus (chicken)
Lineage: Eukaryota; Metazoa; Chordata; Aves; Galliformes; Phasianidae
Source: Ensembl
GGCAUCCCUGAGCGCUCUCUUCAUUUUUCUUCAUCUCCUACUGCUAUGUGACACACAUCAGAAGGGUGUGCAGAAGAAUGUGAGAGAAGCACAUCUAUCC